GACGAACGCUGGCGGCGUGCUUAACACAUGCAAGUCGAACGGAAAGGCCCUGCUUUUGUGGGGUGCUCGAGUGGCGAACGGGUGAGUAACACGUGAGUAACCUGCCCUUGACUUUGGGAUAACUUCAGGAAACUGGGGCUAAUACCGGAUAGGAGCUCCUGCUGCAUGGUGGGGGUUGGAAAGUUUCGGCGGUUGGGGAUGGACUCGCGGCAUAUCAGCUUGUUGGUGGGGUUGUGGCAUAACAAGGCUGUGACGGGUAGCCGGCCUGAGAGGGUGACCGGCCACAGUGGGACUGAGAUACGGCCGAGACUCCUACGGGGGGCAGCAGUGGGGUAUAUUGCACAAUGGGCGGAAGCCUGAUGCAGCAACGCCGCGUGCGGUAUGACGGCCUUCGGUUUGUAAACCGCUUGCGCCUGUGACGAAGCGUGAGUGACGGUAAUGGGUAAAGAAGCACCGGCUAACUACGUG
This 468-nucleotide ribosomal RNA is filed under the name uncultured bacterium. RNAcentral describes it as "partial 16S ribosomal RNA". It matches the Rfam family "Bacterial small subunit ribosomal RNA", at positions 28 to 507 of the family's 1533-position model. The record is from RNAcentral.